UCAGGCCAACUGUCUGCCAUAGUAAAUUACACUUUGUCACUCCUGGUAGAAUCUUGACAUCACAGACUGCGACUAAUCAGAUCUACGGUCUACCAUUAUGAUAGAAAACUACUUCUGUCACAGACAAGCCUGUUGGGCCCACAGUACAAAUUUUGGCUUGUUAGGUUCAUGGUCUACCCUCAUGAGCAAUUGACUCCCAAUUCCCAUGUCAGCCUACAGUCUACCAUAGUAAAUUACUUCUUUCACUGACAAGCCUGUCAGGCCCACAGUACAAGCUGUAGGUAGUCAGGGCAUGGUCUUCCUUGGUGAGCAAAUAUUGGCGAUCGACUCAUUCCAAUGUCAGCGUCUGUAUGUCCAUGUUUGGCAGCAAGUGUUAACCAGAGAUCCUCAGCUGUUUUGAUAUAAUAGAUUGAUUUUCCCUACAGCUGUGCAUUUAAUGUCCAAUUUCUUUGCUGUACAUAUUUCGUUAAUUUUUUGUGUACUUGUUUAUCAUCAGUUUAACAGCGACAAGCUUGUUAAUAUUAUACCCAGAGAACUAUUGGAUGCAUGUGUUGUUGAUGCAGGUUAUCAUUUCAUUUCCUUUCUUUGCAUUUGCAUGUUGUAAUACUUAUUGUUGUUCAGAUGAAAAUUUUCAAUUGCGGCUUUAACUAUAUGUAAUUUAUAAAGGCUCCUUACGUCCAUAUAUUACAUAGUACUCGCACAUUCAGUUCUUUGUUUAUUGCAUACUGUCUGCUAAACCUCAAAUUGAAAAUAUAUUGGAAUAUGUGUAAUAGUGUAACUGUGUUUUUGAAAAGCCAUUGCAAUGAAAUGAAAUAUUAUUUAACAUAUAAACUUCAUGGAGGAAAAAUACCUAUAUUUCUUGAUAGAAAAUGCAUGUAGCUAGUGUAAGCCAGGAAUUUGAAGAAAUGUUGCUGAUGGGGAAAAUUUGCUGGUUGAUUAGGUUUGAAAACAUUGUACCUGGGUAUAUCUGGUAGCAAAGUUAUGAAAGUGAAACCUUAUAGCUAUCAACACAUAAAAAAUUAUUAUUUGCUUACUAGUGAUUUCCCUAAAAUAUGAAUGGCUUCCGAGAUUAAAAUUAAUUAUUAUGAAACAAAUAUAAUGCUCUACAUAAAAGCAGACGCAGGCUUCGCAGAUUGAAAUUGUUCAUUUUUAAAUUUCAAUAUUACUCUCUUUUUUUUUUUGCUUUUUCUUUGCAAAAAAAAAUAGUGCAUGUUGUCAAGAAUGAGAUUGCAAACUUAAAUAUUUCUUUUUAAGUGGACUGUGAAGGUAAAAUCACAAAUAAUUAAGAGUUGUGCAGAUAGCAACCACUGUUUUAAGAACUUUGAUCAACAGCCAUCCCUCCACAAGCACCACCACACAACAGGUAUGAUACUUAGGAAAGGUGUCAUAACUCACGAUAAUAAUAAUACCUCAGAACAGGUGUCACCUCAGACAACAGGUAUGAUACUAAGGACAAGUGUCGUAACGCACAUCAAUAAUCAUACCUGAAGACAGGUGUCACCUCACACAAUAGGUAUGAUACUAAGGACAGGUGCUGUAACGCACAUCAAUAAUCAUACCUGAGAACAGGUGUCACCUCACACAACAGGUAUGAUACUAAGGACAGGUGUCGUAACUCACAUCAAUAAUAAUACCUGAAGACAGGUGUUGUAAAGCGCAACGAUAAUUAUACCUCAGAACGGUGUUGACUUGCACAACAGGUAUGAUACUUAGGGCAGGUGUGGUAACUCACGACGAUAAUAAUACCUCAAAACAGGUGUCGCCCCACACAACAGGUAUGAUACUAAGGACAGGUGUGGUAACUCACCACGAUAAUAAUACCUCAAAACAAGUGUCACCUCACACAACAGGUACAAUACUUAGGACAGGUGUCGUAACUCACCACGAUAAUAAUACCUCAGAACCUGCAGUGUCACCUCAUAUCAGGUGUCCUACAUCACGACAGGUGUGAUACUUUAGGAUACCUGUCCCUACUUCACAGACGUUACAUCUUGGGAAAGAUAUUGUAGUUAAUAACUGGUAUAAUGUCUUUAUCCAAAUAUGGGGUGCUUGACAAUGAAAUAACUUCGCUUAUAGCUUAUUUACAAUACAGCUUUUCUAAUCGAGAUGUGUGUACCCAACAUGUGGCAUUCAUCAUUUUUUUACGAAUAGGGAGAAAUUGUCUCUUAACAAGGUUUUUUUUAUCUUGCCCGGCUAAACUAAAGUUUUAGCCAAGGUAAAGCAAUUGAACAUGGCUAAAGUGCUUAUGAUUCAAAUAUUUGUAUCACACCUCACACAGCCAUUAGGUUGAUAUAUAUGUGCUAUAUUCAAUAUUUUUAUUGAAAUGAUAAAUAUUAUGUAAGAUGAAUAAGUGCUUUAUUUUUGUUAUAAUUUACACUGUUAUCAAGUACAGUAAGAUCAAAAUGCCUUUGUGUUUGUCAACUGUGAUGUCACCUCCGAUACAGUACAGUCUGGGAUGGAUUUUCAGAGUUAAUCCACUGACAUAUUGUUAUGUGAUAUAUCGUCAUGGAAACAGAUAUAUAUAUAGUUAUGUUUAUGUUUUUGCUUGUUCAUUCAUUGCUAUCUAAAUGUCCACCACUAUACUGUGCAUGGCCUUGGGGCGGGAGCUGGCUACCUACCUAAUAUAAUAGGAAGAGGGAAAGGUCUGCAGAGAGUAAUUAUAGUACUGGAGAAGUAGAGCAAAUAAAUAUCCAUCCCGUGUUUUGUAACAUUUAUAUUGCCUUCUUUUGAGGGUACUGUAGUCUGAUGGUUUGAGGGUUGGCAUAGUACCGAAAGUGUGGGUUCUAUUCCACCUCAACAACAUAAUCAGACUAUAGUGACCUCAAAAUUUAAAGAAGGCAAUAAUGUUUUAUGUACAUCACUCUUUCGGUACGUUUUACUUUGCAAAUAUUAAUAUUCAACUGAAUAUUUUACCACAGGAGGGACUCACCUAUAGCCAUUUUCUUCGUCUGCAUCAGUCGGAACAGUGAAGACGACGUCACAAUAGAUUUACAUUCAACCUCACACUAAAUUAUAUAAUUAGUGCCCAGAAGGGCAGAUACUAUCACUUCUUAGUACUCACGUGUGUAGCCACUGGGAAGUCAGUAUUCUGUUACAUGAUGCAUAAAAAAACAAGCAGGGCCUAAUACAUGUACAUCUGCUUCUAAAUUUCCUGUUUUACCACAUUUCUGAAUAAGGCCAGCUUUUUCCUGCGCAAUACUUUACAAUACUCGCCUCUACAUAUAUCCCAAUGUGUUCUAGUCCUGGCUUAUAUUUCUUUAUAAACAACUCUCAUGUCUAUGCUUAGUUUCCCAUUUGUUAUUCUGAAAUCUGCCAUUGAAGUCACUUGAAUUGAAGAAUAACUAUACAUUCUGCAUUCCUGUAUUUUGUGUUUGUCAAGAUAUAGCUAAAAUUAUUAAGUUGAUGAUAUUUUCCAAAAUAUAUUUUUUGCAUUUUUGGUGUUGAAAGUUAGAAUAUAAUGACAUUUAUAAAUAUUUAAAUUAUAUAAUCAGUUGCGUUUGGAUUUUGUUUUCAUUAUUACAGCUGUAUUUGCAAAUUUCAUAAUGAAAUAGGUUAUCCAUUUGGACUUUGAUAUACAAUAUAAACAAGUAUAAAUGUAUUGUUAAUGUAUUAGAAUAGUAGUUUAUUUAUAUAGCUGUAUCAUUGGAUUGGUUUAUGAACACAAAAAACAAUAGGAAUUGUACUGGAGACAAAUUUAACAAAUUAUCUGCAUCUGAAUGUCUCCCCUCCAUCCAGAGUGAUGUUCAAGGAAAAUUACAGCAUAAUGGGUAUUUCAAAAUCAGUCAUAUCUCCAUAGAUAUAACAUGUGUACCUGUAUACAAUACUGGGUACUUAUACUAACUUUCAUAUGUUGUGGUUCUGUUAAUUAAACUGAUUAUUGAUUUAUGUUAAAAGGGUGAUAGUGUAAUAAUCAAAUACAGUGACUGUUUGUUGUAUGUGUAGCAUUGUCAGAGAUUUGUGAGAAACUCGACCUAAAUGGCUACUGUGUAUAUUGUAAGAAAGGUGUUUGACAUUAUGGAAACCCACAAGUCUACACGAAGGACAAGAGUGUAGUCUUGGGGGGGGGGUUUCCAACAAUGGGUGGUCCGAGUGCAAGUGGAUUGAAAGAUAAUUGCUCUUGUGAAGAAAAGUAAGUAAAACAUUGUUAAGUGUAACUGAACCUGAUUCUGGCAAAUAUAUAAAGAUAUAUAUACUAUGUUUUAAAAUAAUAAACAAAUUGCAGAAAAUUUA
This is a long non-coding RNA of Pecten maximus, 4230 nucleotides long. RefSeq lists it as uncharacterized. The record is from RefSeq and is a predicted model, not a curated record. The transcript is spliced from 2 exons. Lineage: Eukaryota; Metazoa; Mollusca; Bivalvia; Pectinida; Pectinidae.